RNAcentral lists this long non-coding RNA (1112 nucleotides) under Cyanistes caeruleus (blue tit). RNAcentral's name for it is "lncRNA (ENSCCEG00000019081.1)". The record is from RNAcentral. Lineage: Eukaryota; Metazoa; Chordata; Aves; Passeriformes; Paridae.
GAAGGCUCUCAGGAACAGCGUGGGGUUGUUGGUGUUACCGCUGAAGAUGAAUAGAUCACGCGGACACAGGUUGAGGUGUGGUGAAAGAAAGAGCAGAGUUUAUUUUUCCUCCCAGGAUUUAUAGGUUUCUGACCAUGGCCAGGGAUUGGAUGGUCAGGAUAACACUUUCCCACUGCACUGGCCAUGAGAAAUGCCCAUCACAAGACGUGUAACAGAAAGAAUGUACACAUAUCUAUGUUUACAGUUACUGUCCUGGGAAAGUCCUUAGAGAACUAUGUUAGCAAGCUCAGAAGCUGAGUUUUCAGGGCGACAGUUGGGGAUGAUGCUGUGCAUGAUCCUUGUGGGUCCCUUCCAGCUCAGCAUAUUCUAUGUCUCUGUGAUUAAUAACAGCCCUGAAUCAGCCCAAGAGCUGCCUGCAGUCUGUUUUGGUUUGAGAUCCCCAUUUGAAUUUCCAGGGCUCACGGUGGUGAGAUGAUCGCUGUGGUUGUACGCUAAUGAUGAUCGUCUGCAGCUCCCACGGGGGUGAGCAGAGUGCUUUUUAUUAAGUGCUGCAAUUCAGCAUCUCAUUGUAUAUGAAAAUGAAAGAGAUUAGUGCAUUUGUGCUGAACAUAUUUCCACAUCAGUAAAGUGAGGGUGCGGUGACAAGACAGCUCUCCAAACCCAAUUAGCUGCAGUGAAUCCCAGAGAUCUGGUCCCAUCUCAUCUGAGGAAUGUCACCUAACAUUGGAACAUGUGUUACCAGGAAACACAGAGCCUGAUCACAUCAGGAGCCUUCAAGGAGGCAGCGUUCACACAACCUGAAGAUCCUCUGCCAGCAGUUCCAUUAUGGAAACUGCCAAUUUCUCUGCCAAAGUCUUGGCUCAGAAGAUUCACAGUUGAUCCCCGUGAAAAACAGAUACAUUUAGCAGCAUCUAUUCAAGGAGCUGUGCAGAAAUACUGUGAGUACUUUGGCAUGUUCUCUUGCAAUCCCAACACUGCUCUUGGAGGGAAAGGCACCACAGAAAUAUUUCAGAGCAGGGGUUAUAAGAAUGGCAAGCAAAGAAAGCAGAGAAGUCUUUUACCCAGGGGUUGUCAUGCAUGAGGGAGUUAAGCCACACGAAGCAGAAGAGGAC